CAGUGCCGCGGGAACACGUAGGGUGCAAGCGUUAAUCGGAAUUACUGGGCGUAAAGCGUGCGCAGGCGGUUAUAUAAGACAGAUGUGAAAUCCCCGGGCUCAACCUGGGAACUGCAUUUGUGACUGUAUAGCUAGAGUACGGCAGAGGGGGAUGGAAUUCCGCGUGUAGCAGUGAAAUGCGUAGAUAUGCGGAGGAACACCGAUGGCGAAGGCAAUCCCCUGGGCCUGUACUGACGCUCAUGCACGAAAGCGUGGGGAGCAAACAGGAUUAGAUACCCCAGUAGUCCCUGUCUCUUAUACA
Molecule: ribosomal RNA, 301 nt
Filed under: uncultured bacterium
Lineage: Bacteria
Description: partial 16S ribosomal RNA
Rfam family: Bacterial small subunit ribosomal RNA
Source: RNAcentral